Molecule: ribosomal RNA, 147 nt
Filed under: Triticum aestivum (bread wheat)
Lineage: Eukaryota; Viridiplantae; Streptophyta; Magnoliopsida; Poales; Poaceae
Description: partial small subunit ribosomal RNA
Source: RNAcentral
AUCUUUAUAUUAAAUGAGAUUAUUGGCCAUCUUGGUUUGUUGGAAAUUCCUUUAAAAGCGAGGAGAUUUACAUGGUCUAACAUGCAAGACUAUCCACUAUUCGAAUAGUUGGGGUGGGUUUUUACUUAUGCCAGCAGGUGGCACUAG